This 497-nucleotide ribosomal RNA is filed under the name uncultured bacterium. RNAcentral's name for it is "partial 16S ribosomal RNA". It matches the Rfam family "Bacterial small subunit ribosomal RNA", at positions 28 to 507 of the family's 1533-position model. The record is from RNAcentral.
GAUGAACGCUGGCGGCGUGCCUAAUACAUGCAAGUCGAGCGAACGGACGAGAAGCUUGCUUCUCUGAUGUUAGCGGCGGACGGGUGAGUAACACGUGGAUAACCUACCUAUAAGACUGGGAUACCUUCGGGAAACCGGAGCUAAUACCGGAUGAUAUUUUGAACCGCAUGGUUCAAAAGUGAAAGACGGUCUUGCUGUCACUUAUAGAUGGAUCCGCGCUGCAUUAGCUAGUUGGUAAGGUAACGGCUUACCAAGGCAACGAUGCAUAGCCGACCUGAGAGGGUGAUCGGCCACACUGGAACUGAGACACGGUCCAGACUCCUACGGGAGGCAGCAGUAGGGAAUCUUCCGCAAUGGGCGAAAGCCUGACGGAGCAACGCCGCGUGAGUGAUGAAGGUCUUCGGAUCGUAAAACUCUGUUAUUAGGGAAGAACAUAUGUGUAAGUAACUGUGCACAUCUUGACGGUACCUAAUCAGAAAGCCACGGCUAACUACGUG